UACGAAGGGGGCUAGCGUUGCUCGGAAUCACUGGGCGUAAAGCGCACGUAGGCGGUUUUGUAAGUCGGAUGUGAAAUCCCUGGGCUCAACCCGGGAACUGCAUCCGAAACUGCUAAACUUGAAUGCUUGAGAGGUUGGUGGAAUUCCUGGUGUAGGAGCGAAAUCCGUAGAUAUCAGGAGGAACAUCGGAGGCGAAGGCGGCCAACUGGCGAUGCAUUGACGCUGAGGUGCGAAAGCGUGGGGAGCAAACAGG
RNAcentral lists this ribosomal RNA (253 nucleotides) under uncultured bacterium. RNAcentral describes it as "partial 16S ribosomal RNA". It matches the Rfam family "Bacterial small subunit ribosomal RNA", at positions 524 to 776 of the family's 1533-position model. The record is from RNAcentral.